Molecule: ribosomal RNA, 602 nt
Filed under: uncultured bacterium
Lineage: Bacteria
Description: bacterial SSU rRNA
Rfam family: Bacterial small subunit ribosomal RNA
Source: RNAcentral
CUUGAGUUUGAUCCUGGCUCAGAUUGAACGCUGGCGGCAGGCUUAACACAUGCAAGUCGAGCGGAGAGAGGUAGCUUGCUACUGAUCUUAGCGGCGGACGGGUGAGUAAUACUUAGGAAUCUGGCUAUUAGUGGGGGACAACAUUUCGAAAGGGAUGCUAAUACCGCAUACGUCCUACGGGAGAAAGCAGGGGAUCUUCGGACCUUGCGCUAAUAGAUGAGCCUAAGUCGGAUUAGCUAGUUGGUGGGGUAAAGGCCUACCAAGGCGACGAUCUGUAGCGGGUCUGAGAGGAUGAUCCGCCACACUGGGACUGAGACACGGCCCAGACUCCUACGGGAGGCAGCAGUGGGGAAUAUUGGACAAUGGGGGGAACCCUGAUCCAGCCAUGCCGCGUGUGUGAAGAAGGCCUUAUGGUUGUAAAGCACUUUAAGCGAGGAGGAGGGUACUGGUAUUAAUACUACCAGGUACUGGACGUUACUCGCAGAAUAAGCACCGGCUAACUCUGUGCCAGCAGCCGCGGUAAUACAGAGGGUGCGAGCGUUAAUCGGAUUUACUGGGCGUAAAGCGUGCGUAGGCGGCUAAUUGAGUCGGAUGUGAAAUCC